Molecule: long non-coding RNA, 201 nt
Filed under: Eucalyptus grandis
Lineage: Eukaryota; Viridiplantae; Streptophyta; Magnoliopsida; Myrtales; Myrtaceae
Description: long non-coding RNA (EGRA_LNC007075)
Source: RNAcentral
AGGCAGGAGCAUGUGGAACAUUAGUAAACUCUGUUCUGGGCUUUGCUACAACAGGCAACAUCUUAUAAAAGUUGCUGGCAUCAUGGGUUUAUCCACCUUCCCUAUGCAAAUGGUGCAUAUUAAAUGGGUAUGCAUCAGACCAUCAUUUCACUUAUUUCUUCUUUUAAGGAAUAAAAAUUGGACUUUAAUUUUCAUUUUUCA